Molecule: long non-coding RNA, 201 nt
Filed under: Gossypium barbadense (sea-island cotton)
Lineage: Eukaryota; Viridiplantae; Streptophyta; Magnoliopsida; Malvales; Malvaceae
Description: long non-coding RNA (GBAR_LNC022295)
Source: RNAcentral
GCUUUAAUGUUAUAGAACAAAUUUUUCCUUAGGAUUAUUUUAUUAUGCAAAUUCACGAACCAUGGGGUUAAAUACUUGUUUGUUUGAUUAUAUUGAAUUCUUUCAGUAUGAAUAAAGAUCUAAGCUUCAUUCCUUUUGUGUGUGCCCUAUUAUGUUCUAUAAAUUUUGACUAAGUAUGACUUAACCCCUUAUGUAAACCAG